CUGAUGCGCCAUGCCGCGUGUAUGAAGAAGGCCUUCGGGUUGUAAAGUACUUUCAGUUGUGAGGAAGGGGGUGUCGUUAAUAGCGGCAUCUCUUGACGUUAGCAACAGAAGAAGCACCGGCUAACUCCGUGCCAGCAGCCGCGGUAAUACGGAGGGUGCGAGCGUUAAUCGGAAUUACUGGGCGUAAAGCGCAUGCAGGUGGUUCAUUAAGUCAGAUGUGAAAGCCCGGGGCUCAACCUCGGAACUGCAUUUGAAACUGGUGAACUAGAGUACUGUAGAGGGGGGUAGAAUUUCAGGUGUAGCGGUGAAAUGCGUAGAGAUCUGAAGGAAUACCAGUGGCGAAGGCGGCCCCCUGGACAGAUACUGACACUCAGAUGCGAAAGCGUGGGGAGCAAACAGGAUUAGAUACCCUGGUAGUCCACGCCGUAAACGAUGUCUACUUGGAGGUUGUGGCCUUGAGCCGUGGCUUUCGGAGCUAACGCGUUAAGUAGACCGCCUGGGGAGUACGGUCGCAAGAUUAAAACUCAAAUGAAUUGACGGGGGCCCGCACAAGCGGUGGAGCAUGUGGUUUAAUUCGAUGCAACGCGAAGAACCUUACCUACUCUUGACAUCCAGAGAAGCCAGCGGAGACGCAUGUGUGCCUUCGGGAGCUCUGAGACAGGUGCUGCAUGGCUGUCGUCAGCUCGUGUUGUGAAAUGUUGGGUUAAGUCCCGCAACGAGCGCAACCCUUAUCCUUGUUUGCCAGCGAGUAAUGUCGGGAACUCCAGGGAGACUGCCGGUGAUAAACCGGAGGAAGGUGGGGACGACGUCAAGUCAUCAUGGCCCUUACGAGUAGGGCUACACACGUGCUACAAUGGCGCAUACAGAGGGCAGCGAACUUGCGAGAGUGAGCGAAUCCCAAAAAGUGCGUCGUAGUCCGGAUUGGAGUCUGCAACUCGACUCCAUGAAGUCGGAAUCGCUAGUAAUCGUAGAUCAGAAUGCUACGGUGAAUACGUUCCCGGGCCUUGUACACACCGCCCGUCACACCAUGGGAGUGGGCUGCAAAAGAAGUGGGUAGUUUAACCUUCCGGGAGGACGCUCACCACUUUUUGGGUCAUGACUGGGUGACGUCCCC
This 1114-nucleotide ribosomal RNA is filed under the name Vibrio sp. 8022M. RNAcentral's name for it is "bacterial SSU rRNA". It matches the Rfam family "Bacterial small subunit ribosomal RNA", at positions 383 to 1490 of the family's 1533-position model. Lineage: Bacteria; Pseudomonadati; Pseudomonadota; Gammaproteobacteria; Vibrionales; Vibrionaceae. The record is from RNAcentral.